CUAUACAUGACUCUGCGCAUAUCAAUAAGCGGAGGAAAAGAAACUAACAAGGAUUCCCCUAGUAACGGCGAGUGAGGCGGGAAGAGCUCAAAUUUGAAAUCUUCAAGGUUUCCCUUGACGAACUGUAGUUUAUAGAAGUGUUUUCUGUUAGUAGAGGUGGUAAAAGUUCUUUGGAAUAGGACAUCAUAGAGGGUGAGAAUCCCGUAUUUAGGUCAUUCUUUCUAGCUUUGUGAUACACUUUCAACGAGUCGGAUUGUUUGGGAAUGCAGUCCAAAAUGGGUGGUAAAUUUCAUCUAAAGCUAAAUAUUGGCGAGAGACCGAUAGCGAACAAGUACCGUGAGGGAAAGAUGAAAAGAACUUUGAAAAGAGAGUUAAACAGUACGUGAAAUUGUCAAAAGGGAAGCGUUUGACACCAGUGUUGUUUUUCCGAAAAUCAAUUACGAAUGUUUUAGUUUUUGAGGAGUUAUGACUUCAUCGGCUUGCUCCUUUCUUUAUGAAACUUUCUUAAUGCACUUUUCGGUUAACAAGUCAACAUCAAUUUCUUUUGUUGUAAAAGGGUAUGAGGAAGGUGGCUUUCUUUUCGGAGAAAGUGUUUAUAGCCUUGUGCCUCUGCAAUCGGAGAGAUUGAGGUCUGCAGCGUAGAUCCUUCGGGGUUAGAUACAUUUGUGCUAAGCUAUAGCCUUUUAUAGACAACUUGUUGACUAUGCUCAGUCAUGUAGCUUACUCACUUGAUGCUAUUUUACCUACGCUUAGGAUGUUGAUAGUCACAGCGUGUAC
Molecule: ribosomal RNA, 777 nt
Filed under: uncultured Neocallimastigales
Lineage: Eukaryota; Fungi; Neocallimastigomycota; Neocallimastigomycetes; Neocallimastigales
Description: partial large subunit ribosomal RNA
Rfam family: Eukaryotic large subunit ribosomal RNA
Source: RNAcentral